RNAcentral lists this ribosomal RNA (294 nucleotides) under uncultured bacterium. Its description in RNAcentral is "partial 16S ribosomal RNA". It matches the Rfam family "Bacterial small subunit ribosomal RNA", at positions 775 to 1067 of the family's 1533-position model. The record is from RNAcentral.
GGAUUAGAUACCCUGGUAGUCCACGCUGUAAACGAUGGAUACUCGCUGUAGCUGGUAAUCAAUCCGGCUGUGGCUUAGCUAACGCAUUAAGUAUCCCGCCUGGGAAGUACGGUCGCAAGAUUAAAACUCAAAGGAAUUGACGGGGACCCGCACAAGCGGUGGAUUAUGUGGUUUAAUUCGAAGCAACGCGCAAAACCUUACCUAGCCUUGACUUGCCAGUGACCGGUGCAGAAAUGUACCUUUCCUUCGGGACACUGGACACAGGUGCUGCAUGGCUGUCGUCAGCUCGUGUUG